RNAcentral lists this ribosomal RNA (253 nucleotides) under uncultured bacterium. RNAcentral's name for it is "partial 16S ribosomal RNA". It matches the Rfam family "Bacterial small subunit ribosomal RNA", at positions 524 to 776 of the family's 1533-position model. The record is from RNAcentral.
UACGUAGGGCGCAAGCGUUGUCCGGAAUUAUUGGGCGUAAAGAGCUCGUAGGCGGCCUGUUGCGUCCGCUGUGAAAUCCCGGGGCUCAACCCCGGGCCUGCAGUGGAUACGGGCUGGCUGGAGGCAGGCAGGGGAGAACGGAAUUCCUGGUGUAGCGGUGAAAUUCGUAGAGAUGGGGGAGAACACUCGUGGCGAAGGCGGCCAGCUAGACCAGUUCUGACACUGAGGCGCGACAGCGUGGGGAGCAAACAGG